This is a non-coding RNA of Pelobates cultripes (western spadefoot toad), 217 nucleotides long. The record is from the annotation of a GenBank genome assembly. NCBI's taxonomy places the organism in Eukaryota, Metazoa, Chordata, Amphibia, Anura, Pelobatidae.
CCAAUAUGGACCAUGACCGCUGGGUCAUCCCCAGCCCCUCCCAAUAAUCCAUCCACUCUGUCAGCAACAUGCCGGACUCGAGCACCCGGGAGACAGCAAACUGUCCGUUUGAGCCAAUCAGAGCGGCAGAUUGCCCUAUCUGCUCUCCUAAUGAUAGAGUCCCCUACCACCACAACCUGUCUUGCCUUCCUUAAAUUUUGAUCCCCACCCAUACUAG